RNAcentral lists this ribosomal RNA (253 nucleotides) under uncultured bacterium. RNAcentral describes it as "partial 16S ribosomal RNA". It matches the Rfam family "Bacterial small subunit ribosomal RNA", at positions 524 to 776 of the family's 1533-position model. The record is from RNAcentral.
UACAGAGGUCUCAAGCGUUGUUCGGAUUCAUUGGGCGUAAAGGGUGCGUAGGCGGCGCGGUAAGUCGGGUGUGAAAUUUCGAGGCUUAACUUCGAAACUGCAUUCGAUACUGCCGUGCUUGAGGACUGGAGAGGAGACUGGAAUUUACGGUGUAGCGGUGAAAUGCGUAGAUAUCCGGAGGAACACCGGUGGCGAAGGCGGCUUCCUGGACCGACACUGACGCUGAGGCGCGAAAGCUAGGGGAGCAAACGGG